RNAcentral lists this ribosomal RNA (398 nucleotides) under uncultured bacterium. RNAcentral describes it as "bacterial SSU rRNA". It matches the Rfam family "Bacterial small subunit ribosomal RNA", at positions 30 to 430 of the family's 1533-position model. The record is from RNAcentral.
AUUGAACGCUGGCGGCAUGCCUUACACAUGCAAGUCGAACGGCAGCACGGGAGCAAUCCUGGUGGCGAGUGGCGAACGGGUGAGUAAUAUAUCGGAACGUGCCCAGUCGUGGGGAUAACGUAGCGAAAGCUACGCUAAUACCGCAUACGAUCUAUGGAUGAAAGCGGGGGAUCGCAAGACCUCGCGCGAUUGGAGCGGCCGAUAUCAGAUUAGGUAGUUGGUGAGGUAAAGGCUCACCAAGCCGACGAUCUGUAGCUGGUCUGAGAGGACGACCAGCCACACUGGGACUGAGACACGGCCCAGACUCCUACGGGAGGCAGCAGUGGGGAAUUUUGGACAAUGGCGCAAGCCUGAUCCAGCAAUGCCGCGUGCAGGAUGAAGGCCUUCGGUUGGUAAAC